UUUCCUUGAUACAGGAGGAUAUGUUCAUGGGAAAAGAGUUUGGUAAUUACAUCAUGCUUUCUUAGGAGGAGUACCCUAGCCUAAAGCAUCUGGUAGCUGGGAUACUCUUAUGGAAAAUACAAACUUUGUUUCUGUUUGAUCUGCUUCCUUUUUCCUAACAUGAAGUUCUGAGCUACAGAGGAUAAGUGAAAAUAUGGUGACUAUUGGAUUGAAAUCUUCCUCAUCAGCAUGACUAAUUAAUUUUUGUGCUCUCUGAAUACAAUAAUUUAUCCCAAAAAAAGAUCUAGAAGAAUGAAGCUAACUUUUCCUACUGCUUGCUUGUAAACAAACAUUCAGAAAUAUUGAAGAAAACUGACCAAGAUUAUGAAGCCAGUGUCAAUGUUUUGAGGAUUGCUCUGCAGCUAAUUAACACUCUUCAGUUCUUCAAUCUUUUUAAUAAAGACAUUAGUACAGGGA
Molecule: long non-coding RNA, 456 nt
Organism: Gallus gallus (chicken)
Lineage: Eukaryota; Metazoa; Chordata; Aves; Galliformes; Phasianidae
Exons: 2
Source: RefSeq, a predicted model, not a curated record